AUGGCAGAAAGCACAGCAAUAGCACCACCACCACAACCAAUGGCACCACCGCAACCAGUGGAGGAAAACGCAACGGCGGCACCGCCGCAACCAAUGGCACCACCGCAACCAAUGGCGGAAAACGCAACGGCGGCACCACCGCAACCAAUGGCGGAAAACGCAACUGUCGUUGUGGUGGUGCCACCACCACCGCCAGACGGCACCACGACAUUCCUCUGCCUCAUCCUCGCCUUCUUCAUCCCUCCCCUCGGCGUUUUCCUCAAGUACAAAUGUGAGAUUGAAUUCUGGAUCUGCCUCAUCCUAACAUUCUUGGCCUACGCGCCGGGCAUCAUCUACGCCGUCUGGGUGAUCGUAAAGUAG
RNAcentral lists this ribosomal RNA (360 nucleotides) under Triticum aestivum (bread wheat). RNAcentral's name for it is "partial small subunit ribosomal RNA". Lineage: Eukaryota; Viridiplantae; Streptophyta; Magnoliopsida; Poales; Poaceae. The record is from RNAcentral.